AACGAACGCUGGCGGCAUGCCUAACACAUGCAAGUCGAACGAGACCUUCGGGGCUAGUGGCGCAGGGGUGCGUAACGCGGGGGAACCUGCCCUUAGGUUCGGAAUAACUCACCGAAAGGGGUGCUAAUACCGGAUAAUGUCUUAGGACAAAAGAUUUAUUGCCUUUGGAUGGGCCCGCGUUGGAUUAGCUAGUUGGUAGGGUAAAAGCCUACCAAGGCGACGAUCCAUAGCUGGUCUGAGAGGAUGAUCAGCCACACUGGGACUGAGACACGGCCCAGACUCCUACGGGAGGCAGCAGUGGGGAAUAUUGGACAAUGGGCGAAAGCCUGAUCCAGCCAUGCCGCGUGAGUGAUGAAGGCCUUAGGGUUGUAAAGCUCUUUUACCCGGGAUGAUAAUGACAGUACCGGGAGAAUAAGCGCCGGCUAACUCCGUG
RNAcentral lists this ribosomal RNA (433 nucleotides) under uncultured bacterium. RNAcentral describes it as "partial 16S ribosomal RNA". It matches the Rfam family "Bacterial small subunit ribosomal RNA", at positions 29 to 507 of the family's 1533-position model. The record is from RNAcentral.